RNAcentral lists this ribosomal RNA (268 nucleotides) under Cortinarius laniger. Its description in RNAcentral is "partial large subunit ribosomal RNA". Lineage: Eukaryota; Fungi; Basidiomycota; Agaricomycetes; Agaricales; Cortinariaceae. The record is from RNAcentral.
ACGCUUGAAGUCAGUCAUGUCAUCCAGGGAUCAACCUUGCUUUUGCUUGGUGCACUUUCUGGUUUGACGGGUCAGCAUCAAUUUUGACCAUUGGAAAAAGGUUGAGGGAAUGUGGCAUCUUUGGAUGUGUUAUAGCCCUUGGUCGUAUACAAUGGUUGGUAUUGAGGAACUCAGCACGCCGCAAGGCCGGGUUUUUAACCACGUACGUGCUUAGGAUGCUGGCAAUAUGGCUUUAAUCGACCCGUCUUGAAACACGGACCAAGGAGUC